GCACGACUGAUACUAACAAUAAUUCGUUUAUAUAUUAUAAAAUGAGACAGAGACUGUCAAAGAGCAAACCUCUUUUGAACACUAAUAUACAAUGAGACGAUUUAACUAUAAUCCCAAUUAUAAUCAUCUCACAAGCAAAGGACAAAGGAACAUUACAAAAAGACACAAGCAAAAACAAAAACACUGAAAAAAAAAGGUGAAGGAAAAUGCGGUUGAUUGGAUAGAUCUCAAGGUUCUCGGGAUUCCAGCACCUUCAUUAAAGAAAUAGCACAUGAAUCCAAUUCUUCCUCUUCCGCUGCUGCCGUCGCCUUCACGAGUCUACCGUUGCAUUAUGCAUAGAGCCUCCCCAUUCCCAUUCCCAUUCCCCGGCCUUCCCCUUGGAUAUAGGGAUCCUUCCUUUGACUUCCAACCCCUUCCCCCAUUACUUUAUUUC
Molecule: long non-coding RNA, 433 nt
Filed under: Prunus dulcis (almond)
Lineage: Eukaryota; Viridiplantae; Streptophyta; Magnoliopsida; Rosales; Rosaceae
Description: sRNA ncRNA
Source: RNAcentral